UACGUAGGUGGCAAGCGUUGUUCGGAAUUACUGGGCGUAAAGCGUGCGCAGGCGGCGCGUUAAGACAGGUGUGAAAGCCCCGAGCUUAACUUGGGAAUUGCGCUUGUGACUGGCGUGCUGGAGUGUGGCAGAGGGAGGUGGAAUUCCACGUGUAGCAGUGAAAUGCGUAGAGAUGUGGAGGAACACCGAUGGCGAAGGCAGCCUCCUGGGCCAGCACUGACGCUCAUGCACGAAAGCGUGGGGAGCAAACAGG
This 253-nucleotide ribosomal RNA is filed under the name uncultured bacterium. RNAcentral's name for it is "partial 16S ribosomal RNA". It matches the Rfam family "Bacterial small subunit ribosomal RNA", at positions 524 to 776 of the family's 1533-position model. The record is from RNAcentral.